Molecule: transfer RNA, 731 nt
Filed under: uncultured Flavobacteriaceae bacterium
Lineage: Bacteria; Pseudomonadati; Bacteroidota; Flavobacteriia; Flavobacteriales; Flavobacteriaceae
Description: 16S-23S ribosomal RNA intergenic spacer
Rfam family: tRNA (bases 117-190)
Source: RNAcentral
AGAGACGAUGCGCCUAAUUGGCCCCGUUUUUUGAUGAAGGAGUGGUUCUUACUCUUUUAUGUUGUCUAUCAAUAUGUUAUUUAAAAUAUUGUGUACUGUUGUAAACAGGCCAAGACAGUCUCAUAGCUCAGCUGGUUAGAGCGCUACACUGAUAAUGUAGAGGUCGGCAGUUCGAGUCUGCCUGAGACUACAAAGUUGUCGAAAGACAGACGAGAAGUCUAUGCUGAGCGUAGUCGAAGUAAGUCUGCCUGAGACAACAACGUUCAUAUAAUUGAAAUACUGAAUAGGAAAUUCUAGAAGUUGGGUAGUAGUUAAGUACUAACUGCUAACUACUAAUUACUAACGACUAGUAAUUGGGGGAUUAGCUCAGCUGGCUAGAGCGCCUGCCUUGCACGCAGGAGGUCAUCGGUUCGACUCCGAUAUUCUCCACGAUGGAUGCUUUAAGAAGUGGAAUCGAAAUUAAAGGAAACAAAAGAAGCUUGCUUUUUGUUGUUUUUGAGAUAAGAUUUUUUUAAUGCAUUCUCAAGAUUGAAGUUUGAGGAGCAGCUUGGCUACUCCGAUAUACUAAUAAUCUUGCAUAACGUUCAUUGACAUAUUGGGACGUAUUAUAAAGACACGAGUCAUUUAUAAUAAGUCAAAAGAAGAAACUUAAGUAGUAGAAUAGAAUACAAUAAGUUAGAAGUAAUUAUAAGGAUUACGAGAGGGCGCAUAUAUCAAGUGAUAUAUAGUGC